RNAcentral lists this ribosomal RNA (505 nucleotides) under uncultured bacterium. Its description in RNAcentral is "partial 16S ribosomal RNA". It matches the Rfam family "Bacterial small subunit ribosomal RNA", at positions 28 to 507 of the family's 1533-position model. The record is from RNAcentral.
GACGAACGCUGGCGGCGUGCCUAAUACAUGCAAGUAGAACGCACAGUUUAUACCGUAGCUUGCUACACCAUAGACUGUGAGUUGCGAACGGGUGAGUAACGCGUCGGUAACCUGCCUGGUAGCGGGGGAUAACUAUUGUGAACGAUAGCUAAUACCGCAUAAUAUUUAUUAUUGCAUGAUAAUUAAUUGAAAGGUGCAAUUGCACCACUACCAGAUGGACCUGGGUUGUAUUAGAUAGUAGGUGAGGUAACGGCUCACCUAGGCGACGAUACAUAGCCGACCUGGGAGGGUGAUCGGCCACACUGGGACUGCGACACGGCCCAGACUCCUACGGGAGGCAGCAGUAGGGAAUCUUCGGCAAUGGACGAAAGUCUGACCGAGCAACGCCGCGUGGGUAAAGAAGGUUUUCGGAUCGUAAAGCUCUGUUGUAAGAGAAUAACGGGUGUGAGAGUUGAAAGUUCACACUGUGACGGUAUCUUACCAGAAAGAAACGGCUAACUACGUG